CGUUCGAUCAUUUCUGGAAUGCUGUUUCGAAAAUUUCGGACAACCCUCGAGGUUGUCCACAAAUUGGAAAUUCCGGAAGUUUCGAAAUUUUUACAUUCCAUUAAAACAUUUCCCAACCACGUUGCUGGUUCUUUCUGGUUCUUUCUGGUUACCAUUUCAGUGCCUCGAGUCUGGACUUAUUUCGCCGAAUGUUCCAUUUGAUUUUCAAGCACGAUUUCCGGAAUUUCCGUCAAAUGGAAAGCUCCCAACAAGCCUCCCAUUAUUUACAAGGCAUAUGUCACGCUGUAUAUAGCGUUCCAUUUUGCCAGUGGUGAAUGGAAAGCGCCCGACGUCGACGAAGUGAAACCACUUAAAACAUUCAUUUCUCUCGAAUCAAAAGACUUCUGCCAGAAGCAUUAUUCAACGAAUUAAACCGAAAUUCGACGUUUAGGGAAUUCUUGCUACAAUUUGCCACGCAAUAUCGGAUAAAACGCGAUGUUAUGAAUUAAAGUGGUCUCGCAUAUUUACUAUAAUAAGGGAUGAAAAAUGACAGAAAUUGUAUGAAAUAUGUAGGCAGACUAAGCCCAGCGCACACCGUCACUGGAGCUAUCAGCUGAGCUGAGCGUCACUCGUGACUGUUGGCCUAAGCAAGUUCCCCCUGACCCAGUUUUAUUUUACGUUUUAUCUUUUCGAGCGCGCACAUUUCGAGAAAAUGUUCAUUUAAAAAUGAAAAUUAAAGCCCAGCAAAUGACUUUCAGACGAGACUUAACAAAAAUAUAAAGUUUAUUGGUUAACGUUUCGUUCUAUUGUUCACGACAUCUUCAGAGCAAUUGAAGAUGUUGUGAACAAUACAACGAAACGUUAGCCAAUAAAUUUUAUAUUUUUGUUAUGUCUUGUCUGAAAGUCAUUUGCUGGGCUUUAAUUUUCGUUCCUAAAUUACGCUUUCCACUCGGUGUAUCAAUCGGUACUGUUUUGAAAUGUUCAUUCGUGACUGAAAUUAUUCAACUAUCCGAAUAUUCGUUGCCGAUGGCACGCGUGGCUGAAAUCGCUCAAAACGCCACCGCACACUAGGGGACAGCUCAGCUGAUAGCUCCAGUGUGCACUUGGCUUAGUCUGCCCACAUAUUUCAUACAAUUUCUAUCCUUUUCAUCCCUUAUUAUAGCAAAUAUCGAGACCAGUUUAGUUCAUAACAUCACGUUUUAUCCGAAAUUGCGUGGCAACUGGCAAGUUGCAGCAAAAAUUGUCUCGGUAACAUGGCGUUAGACUUUAUAGUCUUAGAAUUUAAAAUGAUGCAUGUUGAUGCCUGUUGAGCACUCCUCAUACCUAUAAGGUUUUAAAUGCUCAGCUUAUUCAGCUUGUCUCUCAAUACAGCUUAGAUAAACUAGUCGAUCCACCUCAAGCAUUCAAGCAAGAUUUAAUUAAGACAUCUCUUUUCUAUAUUUGGCCAUUAAAAACGAAAAUGCAAUACGUUUGCAUGCUUAUAUUUGCAAUAUAAUCCAUGCAAUGUUAGUACAGAUAAUCACAGAGAGAUUUAUAGUGGAAUAUUUGCAGAUAACACAUUAACUGUGCACAUAUCGAGGGAAUUAUGCUUUUACACAGCUUGCAUGAUUCCGAAUUUAAUGACCUAUAUAAACAAGAGUCGUGAACAUUCAACAGUAAGGUGUAAAGUAACACUCGUAUCUAAGAAAUUAAUUCAAUAUUUGAGCUUC
Molecule: non-coding RNA, 1688 nt
Organism: Paramuricea clavata
Lineage: Eukaryota; Metazoa; Cnidaria; Anthozoa; Malacalcyonacea; Plexauridae
Source: the annotation of a GenBank genome assembly